This 306-nucleotide long non-coding RNA is filed under the name Astyanax mexicanus (Mexican tetra). RNAcentral describes it as "lncRNA (ENSAMXG00005002328.1)". The record is from RNAcentral. Lineage: Eukaryota; Metazoa; Chordata; Actinopteri; Characiformes; Acestrorhamphidae.
CAUUAAUCCUGUGGAAUCAUUUUUAGGCUCCUUAUUUUUUUUCACAGCUCUAGUUCUGCAGCUGCUCGGAUUAACUGCUCUUCACAGACGAUGAGGUGGAGGUGGAACCGGACUGAGGUCCAUCACCUGUACAGGUGUGGAUAGGCCAGCUGAGCCAGAUGUGCAGACCAUUGCAGCGGGGGAUACAGAGGCUUUAGGAGUGAGAGACCCCCCCCCCCCCCACGUCUCCUGUAGGAGGAGCCAAUCAGCAGCACCUUCACACCUGUAGAGACACUUUCACACAGGAACAGCUCAUUGGAAGGAAGC